Molecule: long non-coding RNA, 415 nt
Filed under: Daucus carota (carrot)
Lineage: Eukaryota; Viridiplantae; Streptophyta; Magnoliopsida; Apiales; Apiaceae
Description: long non-coding RNA (DCAR_LNC002022)
Source: RNAcentral
UAUUAUGUAUAAUUCAAUUAAAAUAUAUCCUGCAUAUUGAUUCUGCUAAACUGAAUGUGCGACUACAAAGAAAAUCUCAGCAACUCUGGAAACUGUAAUAUUUUGUUCUUGCAUUGCCUCAGUUGUAAAUAUACUCUGCUAUCUCGUGAGGCUUAUUGAGAUUCUAAUCCAGUAACCAAGUUUGUAGUCAGGAUUAUCACUUGUAUGCAUAUGAUUAGUGUUGCAAUGGCUAGUUUGUAAGGCGUAAGUGCUCAGAAAGUUCAGAUCUUUUUUCUAGUAACCAACUGGAUAUAUAAUAGGUGUGUUUUCAAUCACCUACGUGGUAACCACAUAAACGAAUAGUUUCUGUAGAAGGUGACCAUGGUAUCCGCUGUUUUGGACUGUUAUCAUCUAGUUCUAUCUGAAUUCAUCAAAA